Pongo pygmaeus (Bornean orangutan) is the source of this 2522-nucleotide long non-coding RNA. RefSeq lists it as uncharacterized. Lineage: Eukaryota; Metazoa; Chordata; Mammalia; Primates; Hominidae. The transcript has 5 exons. The record is from RefSeq and is a predicted model, not a curated record.
GCCUGUGCUGUGCUUUUAGGAGAUAAUUGUAACAUAUCCCUGGCUGAGCACCCAGGUGAUGUGAUACUCCUGCUUGGUUCUUUCCCUCCGGGAAGAUUGUGAGAUACCCUUGGCUGAAAUCCCAGGUCAUAAAGAAUUGCCACCCUCCAACAUAUCAUAUAAUGCCCUCGAGUGUUACAAAGAGUGUUAUCCCAGGGCACACAGCACAAAGGGAACGUCACUCCUGUGGAUGAUCAAAGCUACUCAGGGGGCUGAGGCAGGAGAAUCGCUUGAACUCGGGAAGCAGACGUUGCAGUGAGCCAAGGUCGCACCACUGCACUCCAGCCCAGGCGACAGUGUGAGACUCCACAUCAAAAAGAAAAAGAAAAAAAGUGUACUAACAAGACCCAGCACACAGAGGAGACUUUUACCAUUAUAUGAACACCCAUCAAACAGUACACAUCAUCAUUGUGAGUUCUGAAUCUCACACAUAGAGGAAGUCAAAGGUGGAAAAAUUGACUCUCAUAUUUGGAUUCAGUCCACAGGUGUGAUUUUGACACACACUUCUGCCUAGCACCUGAGUAAUGUGAUUCUUCAGAAUUGGCCCAGCCUACAGAUAGGAUUGUGCCACACUGCUGGACCCAGCACCUAAGUGAUGUAACUCUAUUCUUCUGCCUUGGUGCUACUCGAAAAAGACAUUGUAACAUAUCUCAGAGCCUUGCACCCAAGUAAUGUGAGUCUCCUCUUCUGCCUUUCUGCUGCACACAGAAGCAAGAUAUGUACAGGAUUGUUAAUCUCAUCUUGGACCUUCCUGCACAUGUGAUUGUGACACAUGCCUCUGUGUAGAACCUGAGUGAGUUUACUCUCCUGCCUGGAUUUAACCCAUAGAUGGAAUUGUGACAUAUCGCUGUACCAGAAACUAGGUGAUGUGACUCUAUUUUCUUGCCUCUGUGUUUUUAUAUGGGGCAUCGUGACAUAUCACUGGGCCUUGCACCCAAGUGAUGGGAGUUUUCUCUCCUGCUUUGGUGCUGUCCACAAUGAAAAUUGUGAAAUAUUGCUGCCCUCCCCGCUAGGUUAUGUUACUCUCCUGCCUCUGCUUUGCCCACAUGGGUCACUGUAACAUAUUGCUGGGUCUAAAACCCAGGUAAUGUCACUCUCUUGUUUGGGUUCUGCCUGCAGGAGUCAUUGUCACAUAUCUCUGUGCUCAUCACCCAGGUAAUAUGACUCCCUUUUACUGCUUAGUUCCUUCUCACAAAACAACUUGUGACAUAUUGCUAGGCCCAAUACACCUAGCUGGUGUAAUUCUUCUUUUUCUUUUUUUUUUUUUUUUUUUUGAGAUGGAGUCUCACUCUGUUGUCCAGGCUGGAGUGCAGUGGCAUGAUUUCAGCUCACUACAGCCUCUGCCUCCUAGGUUGAAGCGAUUGUCCUGCCUUAGCCUCCCAAGUAGCUGGGAUUAAAGGCAUGUGCCACCACGCCCGGCUAAUUUUUGUAUUUAUAGUAGAGACAGGGUUUCGCCAUGUUGGCUAGGCUGGAUUCGAACUUCUAACCUCAGGUGAUCCUCCCACCUCGGCCUCCCAAAGUACUGGGAUUACAGGCAUGAGCCACUGCACUUGGCCUGACUCUUCUCUUCUUUCUAGGUUUCAACUGCAGCAAAGAUUGUAAAAAACCACUGGGCCCAGCCGCAUAAUGACGUUACUCUUUUGCCUUGGGCCUGCCCUCAGAAGGCACUGUCACAUAUUCAUGGGCCCAACGCCAAGGUGAUAUGUGUCUCCAGCCUGGACCCUGCCCACAGGGGCCAUUGUGACAUAUCUCUUGGCCCAUCAGAUGUUUGAUGUUAUCCCCUCCCCUCUUCUACCCUGUGUUUGCCUAUAAGAGACAGAGUCACAUGUUCCUGGGCCCAGCACCUAAGUGAUGUCUUCCUGGAAUGUGUCCACAUGGGGAUUGUGAUAUGUCACGUGGCGCAGUACUUAACUUGAUGUGACUCUCCUCUCAUGCCUAGGCCUUGUAGAGAAUCCCCUUCCCCUUUUGUUUUCCUUUCUUUCUUUGCAGAUCCAGGAGAUAAUCAACUAAGAGCCAGGUACCCGUUUAGGUCUAAUAAGAAACAUUUUACAACCUGCUCUCUCUUUUAAUUCACUUAUCUGAGAGAUUCCUCUGUACAAUAAAACUUGGUCUCCACAAUCCUUUACCUUAACCUAAACCUUCCCUUUCAUUGAUCCCAGGUCUUCAGAUUCCACCAAUUGUCAACCACAAAAUAUUUAAAUUUACCCGCUUUGAGUUGUCCCGCCUUUCUGAACCAAACCAAUAUAUUCUUGCAAAACCGGCCAUGAUUAAAACAUCAAAAAAUAAUAUAUGUUGGCUUGGCUGUCGUGAAAAAAGAAUACUUUUUCACUGCUGGUGGGUAUGUAAACUAGUACAACCACUAUGAAAAACAGUAUGGAGAUUCAUUAAAUAAAAGUAAAGCUACCAUUUGAUUAAGCAAUUCUACUACUGCAUAUCUACAUGAAGAAAAAAAUUAUAUGAGUAAGACACUUGCACACAUAUGU